This 260-nucleotide ribosomal RNA is filed under the name uncultured bacterium. RNAcentral describes it as "partial 16S ribosomal RNA". It matches the Rfam family "Bacterial small subunit ribosomal RNA", at positions 524 to 776 of the family's 1533-position model. The record is from RNAcentral.
UACGUAGGGGGCAAGCGUUGUCCGGAUUCAUUGGGCGUAAAGAGCGUGUAGGCGGCCAGGUAGGUCGGUUGUGAAAACUGGAGGCUCAACCUUCAGAGGUCGACCGAAACCAUCUGGCUAGAGUCCGGGAGAGGAGAGUGGAAUUCCUGGUGUAGCGGUGAAAUGCGCAGAUAUCGAGGAAGAACACCCGUGGCGGAAAGCGGCAUCGUCGUGGAACGGUACUGGACGCUGAAGACGCGAAAGCCGUGGGAGCGAACAGG